UACCAGACUCCUACGGGAGGCAGCAGUGGGGAAUAUUGCACAAUGGGGGAAACCCCGACGCAGCGACGCCGCGUGAGCGAUGAAGUAUUUCGGUAUGUAAAGCUCUAUCAGCAGGGAAGAAAAUGACGGUACCUGACUAAGAAGCCCCGGCUAACUACGUGCCAGCAGCCGCGGUAAUACGUAGGGGGCAAGCGUUAUCCGGAUUUACUGGGUGUAAAGGGAGCGUAGACGGCUGUGCAAGCCAGAUGUGAAAGCCCGGGGCUCAACCCCGGGACUGCAUUUGGAACUGUGUGGCUGGAGUGUCGGAGAGGCAGGCGGAAUUCCUAGUGUAGUGGUGAAAUGCGUAGAUAUUAGGAGGAACACCAGUGGCGAAGGCGGCCUGCUGGACGAUGACUGACGUUGAGGCUCGAAAGCGUGGGGAGCAAACAGGAUUAGAUACCCGAGUAC
RNAcentral lists this ribosomal RNA (447 nucleotides) under uncultured bacterium. RNAcentral's name for it is "bacterial SSU rRNA". It matches the Rfam family "Bacterial small subunit ribosomal RNA", at positions 329 to 793 of the family's 1533-position model. The record is from RNAcentral.